UAGGGAAUCUUCGGCAAUGGGGGGAACCCUGACCGAGCAACGCCGCGUGAGUGAAGAAGGUUUUCGGAUCGUAAAGCUCUGUUGUUAAGGAAGAACGAAUGGGAGAAUGGAAAGUUCAUACUGUGACGGAACUUAACCAGAAAGGUACGGCUAUCUACGGGCCAGCAGCCGCGGUAAUAAGUAGGUCCCGAGCAGUGUCCGGAUGUAUUGGGCGAAAGGCGAGCGCAGGCGGUUAGAAAAGUCUGAAGUUAAAGGGAGUGGCUAAACCAUUGAAGGCUUUGGAAACUGGUUAACUUGAGUGCAGAAGGGGAGAGUGGAAUUCCAUGUGUAGCGGUGAAAUGCGUAGAUAUAUGGAGGAACACCGGUGGCGAAAGCGGCUCUCUGGUCUGUAACUGACGCUGAGGCUCGAAAGCGUGGGGAGCGAACAGG
This 429-nucleotide ribosomal RNA is filed under the name Bacteroidota bacterium. Its description in RNAcentral is "Bacteroidetes bacterium partial 16S ribosomal RNA". It matches the Rfam family "Bacterial small subunit ribosomal RNA", at positions 355 to 776 of the family's 1533-position model. Lineage: Bacteria; Pseudomonadati; Bacteroidota. The record is from RNAcentral.